GUACCAAGUUUGAAGUCGAUUGGACUUCAACUUCAUCAAAAACUACCUUGACCAAAAACUUUAACCUGAAGAGGGACAGACGGACGGACGAACAGACGAACGGACGCACAGACCAGAAAACAUAAUGCCCCCUUACUAUCGUAGGUGGGGCAUAAAAAUGCACAACUGUGUCAUGAUUUGUGAAAUCUGUGCUGAAAACAUAGGCAUUUAUGGUGUUUUGAGUAAUUCCAUCUGUGAAGCUCAACAUUAGCUCGUCAGUUGGUGGUGGACAGUUAUAAAUCUUUCCUGCAGGAUGAAUGUACA
RNAcentral lists this long non-coding RNA (303 nucleotides) under Mytilus galloprovincialis (Mediterranean mussel). Lineage: Eukaryota; Metazoa; Mollusca; Bivalvia; Mytilida; Mytilidae. The record is from RNAcentral.